UACGUAGGGUGCGAGCGUUAAUCGGAAUUACUGGGCGUAAAGGGUGCGCAGGCGGUUCUGCAAGUCAGGCGUGAAAGCCCCGGGCUCAACCUGGGAAUGGCAAUGGAAACUGGCGGGCUAGAGUGUGGCAGAGGGGGGUGGAAUUCCGCGUGUAGCAGUGAAAUGCGUAGAGAUGCGGAGGAACACCGAUGGCGAAGGCAGCCCCCUGGGCCAAUACUGACGCUCAGGCACGAAAGCGUGGGGAGCAAACAGG
This 253-nucleotide ribosomal RNA is filed under the name uncultured bacterium. Its description in RNAcentral is "partial 16S ribosomal RNA". It matches the Rfam family "Bacterial small subunit ribosomal RNA", at positions 524 to 776 of the family's 1533-position model. The record is from RNAcentral.